Molecule: ribosomal RNA, 446 nt
Filed under: uncultured bacterium
Lineage: Bacteria
Description: SSU rRNA
Rfam family: Bacterial small subunit ribosomal RNA
Source: RNAcentral
AGAACGAACGCUGGCGGCAGGCUUAACACAUGCAAGUCGAGCGCAUCCUUCGGGGUGAGCGGCAGACGGGUGAGUAACGCGUGGGGAUAUGCCCAGAGGUGUGGAAUAACUCAGGGAAACUUGAGCUAAUACCGCAUGAGCCCUUCGGGGGAAAGAUUUAUCGCCUUUGGAUUAACCCGCGUCAGAUUAGCUAGUUGGUAGGGUAAUGGCCUACCAAGGCGACGAUCUGUAGCUGGUCUGAGAGGAUGACCAGCCACACUGGGACUGAGACACGGCCCAGACUCCUACGGGAGGCAGCAGUGGGGAAUAUUGGACAAUGGGCGCAAGCCUGAUCCAGCCAUGCCUCGUGAGUGAUGACGGCCUUAGGGUUGUAAAGCUCUUUUAACAGGGACGAUAAUGACGGUACCUGUAGAAUAACGCCCGGCUAACUUCGCGCCAGCAGCCGC